UACGAAGGGUGCAAGCGUUACUCGGAAUUACUGGGCGUAAAGCGUGCGUAGGUGGUUCGUUAAGUCUGAUGUGAAAGCCCUGGGCUCAACCUGGGAAUGGCAUUGGAUACUGGCGACCUAGAGUGCGGUAGAGGGGUGUGGAAUUCCCGGUGUAGCAGUGAAAUGCGUAGAUAACGGGAGGAACAUCUGUGGCGAAGGCGACACCCUGGACCAGCACUGACGCUCAUGCACGAAAGCGUGGGGAGCAAACAGG
RNAcentral lists this ribosomal RNA (253 nucleotides) under uncultured bacterium. RNAcentral's name for it is "partial 16S ribosomal RNA". It matches the Rfam family "Bacterial small subunit ribosomal RNA", at positions 524 to 776 of the family's 1533-position model. The record is from RNAcentral.